Molecule: ribosomal RNA, 522 nt
Filed under: uncultured bacterium
Lineage: Bacteria
Description: partial 16S ribosomal RNA
Rfam family: Bacterial small subunit ribosomal RNA
Source: RNAcentral
ACUCAAAUGAAUUGACGGGGACCCGCACAACCGGUGGAGCGUGUGGUUCAAUUCGAUACAAAGCGAAAGACCUUACCAAGGUUUGACAUGCUACCGUACAGCUUUCUAGAAACAGAGAGCAAUCCGCAAGGAUGGUAGCAAAGCUGCUGCAUGGCUGUCGUCAGCUCGUGCCGUGGGGUGUUCCCUUAAGUGGGAGAACGAGCGCAACCCGUGUCCAAUGUUAUAUGUUUCAUUGGAGACCGCCCACUCCUUGAGAGUAGAACAAGUGUUCUAUUUUGAAGGAGUGGGAGGAAGGAACGGACGACGUCAAGUCAGCACGGCGCUUAUGCCUUGGGAUACACACACCCUACAAUGGCGAACAACAAUGGGACGCGAACCAGCAAUGGCAAGCAAAUCCCCUAUAAAUUUCGCCUCAGUUCAGAUUGGGGGCUGCAACCCGCCCCCAUGAAGUCGGAAUCGGUAGUAAUCGCAGAUCAGCAGGCUGCGGUGAAUACGUUCUCGGGUCUUGUACACACCGCCCGU